Molecule: non-coding RNA, 985 nt
Organism: Coturnix japonica (Japanese quail)
Lineage: Eukaryota; Metazoa; Chordata; Aves; Galliformes; Phasianidae
Source: RefSeq, a predicted model, not a curated record
UCCGUGAAUUGAGCUCCAUAGAGUCACAAUGCCACCCAUCAGCUGUCCCACUGGGAGACCUGCAGGAGCUGGAAGAGCUGCCUUGCCAAAAGAAAGACCACUGCUGUAAAGCUGCUAACCUUUACCAGAGCUGUACGCAGCCCAGCCAGCAGGAAUUAAAACACAAUUGACCGUGAUUGGAAGAAAUUCAGUAGUGACACAUUAGCAACAAGGACGUGUGCAGAUGAGCAGCAGCACCAGCCCUUGCUAAUAUUCAUGUGCUCAGAGAAGCAGUAAUAAUAAUAAUAAUAAUACUAUCUUCAGACCUCAAUCUACCCAUUAUUUCAUUCCUUGAACAAGGUUAGGGGUCACUUCUAAAAUAACAACUGCAAAUGAAAGGCAAUUACAUGGAAUAAAAAAUGACCAGUGAUGGGAAGAGCCAGCCAGUGCAUGGACUGCUGGUGACAUGUCAUUGUAGUAUGACAAUAUGCCAAGUCAAAGUCAACACAGAGAUAAAUAAGGACGAGUGACUGUAUUCCAGUAUCUGGAGAUGUCUCAGGAAAUGAACAUCAAAGGUUAAACCACCUACUUUGUUAUUGCUUCUACUGCUCCUGCUAUUGUUAUUUGUCUUCUGGUAUCACCAAGAGGCUUCAACCAAGAUUAAGGCCAUUGUGUUAGGCACAAGAUAAAUAUGCACAGGAAGAGAAAGUUCCUGUUUUAAAAACUCCAAGCCUAAUGGAUAAGAUGAGCAAGAAGCUGAAGAAAAACAGAGAGAAACAGAUGAGAAAUGGCUCAGAGUCACUCAGCAAGUCAGUAAGAGAGCUCCUAUUCUAUUAAUUGCUGCAAGGAUUUGAAUGGGCCAAAACUGAGAGUAUGGCGUAUACUAUUAUGUUUACUGUUUCAAGAUGUGACAAUUCUGUAAGCUCUUCCACACACAGUGACAGCCACAUGCAGAGGGCUGUGAGAUUGGGAUACAUUCAGCUAAUACAGAGUAUCUUCACCUUGU